Molecule: small RNA, 57 nt
Filed under: Vibrio cholerae O1 biovar El Tor str. N16961
Lineage: Bacteria; Pseudomonadati; Pseudomonadota; Gammaproteobacteria; Vibrionales; Vibrionaceae
Source: RNAcentral
AGAAUGUAUUGUCAGUCGCAGUGGCUACACCGGUGAAGAUGGCUACGAAAUCUCAGU